UUGUGAGGAUUUAUUAUGUUCUUAGGCAUAAAUAAGGACUCAUUCGUUGAAAUUCGGGUGAUCCAAUUCGUCAAUAUUUUCCAAUUUAUUUAAUCAUUUAUAUUUUGCUUAUGAUUCGCUUGUCCUAAGACAAUUAUAUAAAAAGCUCACCAGUCACCACCGUGAGUUGAGAUUAGCGGGAGACAAGCGAGACACUUAUUAUGAUUAAAUGCACAUACAUGCCUUUCGUUUCACUUUUAAAAAUUGCGAGUGCUUAUUUGAAGUAUAAAGUAUAAACUACAACAACAACAAAAACUAAGCAUUAUUCUCAUUAAAUAUGAUUGACUGCACGUCAUCAUACUCAAUCAUAAAAAUAUAUUUAUUAAGAAAAUAUUAAUCUUUAAACAUUAGCAAUAAAAACUACUUGUGAAUUUAGCUAGUUUUUUUGAUAAGUAAGUUUUAUUAAAAAAAUAGAGGUAAGGAAAGUACAUCAAAUAUAAAUUAGUACAAUUGAGAGUGCAAGCUAAAUAACAACAGCAUAAUUAUAUAGACCCAACUCACUGUCACUAUAAAACCUUUCAAUGCAAUUCCUACUAAGGAUCCUACAACAUAUAAGUUCACCUAUAAACAAAAGGUUGUAUUAGUAUUCCAUUCGAACCAAGGCAUGGUUGUGUGUUUGAAUUUUUCUUUGAUCCAGGACAAUGACUUGAAGUUUUUCUCAUCUACAAUUCUCUUUGUUGUUGUGUCCUUGUGGUUGAAAAUUGUUGUAUUAUAUUCCUGCUUGUCCAAAUUUUUCAAAUUUAAGCCAUCCAUAUUACUAUAAAAAUGUUGCAGAAACUUUUGCCUUCAACUAAUAGGGAGUAUUAUACAUAUGUUCCUUUCCUAAUGAUGAUAAUAUUGAAUCAAUACCCAACCAUUAGUAAAGUCGUUGUCACACCACAUAAGAAAAACGAUAAGAGAAAAACAAAUGAUCCAUUGAUUCAUUCUCGGCAUGGCACUAGAUGCAUCUUAAAUCUUGCAUUUUCACACCCACCCCCUUUGUGCUAAAUUUACUUUACAAGGAAGUCUAUCCAAUAUACCUCUCUAGGCUAGCAUACAAGUCUUCAAUGUUGCCAUAACUUUCCAAAUCAAGUAAAGCAACUUUCUAUCUUCUGUUCCAUUUUCACCCUCUUGCCAAAUAACAUAAUAAGCUGAUUUGAUUGUAUAUUCAUUUGACAUGUUGUGAAUUCAACGCUACUAGUCUUUGGUUGCUUCCUUUGCAACUACAAGAUUAAUCACCCUCAUCAACUCAUCAAUUCUAAGUUACUUCCGGUCAAAAGGUUGUCUCCUCCAACUUAAUUUCCAUUUCCG
This 1329-nucleotide long non-coding RNA is filed under the name Lupinus angustifolius (narrow-leaved blue lupine). Its description in RNAcentral is "long non-coding RNA (LANG_LNC000085)". The record is from RNAcentral. Lineage: Eukaryota; Viridiplantae; Streptophyta; Magnoliopsida; Fabales; Fabaceae.